UACGUAGGGUGCAAGCGUUAAUCGGAAUUACUGGGCGUAAAGCGCGCGCAGGCGGUUGUGUAAGACAGAUGUGAAAUCCCCGGGCUCAACCUGGGAACUGCAUAUGUGACUGCACAGCUGGAGUACGGUAGAGGGGGAUGGAAUUCCGCGUGUAGCAGUGAAAUGCGUAGAUAUGCGGAGGAACACCGAUGGCGAAGGCAAUCCCCUGGACCUGUACUGACGCUCAUGCACGAAAGCGUGGGGAGCAAACAGG
This 253-nucleotide ribosomal RNA is filed under the name uncultured bacterium. RNAcentral describes it as "partial 16S ribosomal RNA". It matches the Rfam family "Bacterial small subunit ribosomal RNA", at positions 524 to 776 of the family's 1533-position model. The record is from RNAcentral.